RNAcentral lists this ribosomal RNA (439 nucleotides) under uncultured bacterium. RNAcentral's name for it is "partial 16S ribosomal RNA". It matches the Rfam family "Bacterial small subunit ribosomal RNA", at positions 339 to 795 of the family's 1533-position model. The record is from RNAcentral.
CUACGGGGGGCUCCAGUGGGGAAUAUUGCACAAUGGAGGAAACUCUGAUGCAGCAACGCCGCGUGGAGGAUGACACUUUUCGGAGCGUAAACUCCUUUUAUAUAGGAAGAUAAUGACGGUACUAUAUGAAUAAGCACCGGCUAACUCCGUGCCAGCAGCCGCGGUAAUACGGAGGGUGCAAGCGUUACUCGGAAUCACUGGGCGUAAAGAGCGUGUAGGCGGGUUAAUAAGUCAGAAGUGAAAUCCUAUGGCUCAACCAUAGAACUGCUUUUGAAACUGUUAACCUAGAGUGUGGGAGAGGUAGAUGGAAUUUCUGGUGUAGGGGUAAAAUCCGUAGAGAUCAGAAGGAAUACCGAUUGCGAAGGCGAUCUACUGGAACAUAACUGACGCUGAGACGCGAAAGCGUGGGGAGCAAACAGGAUUAGAUACCCGUGUAGUC